UGAUGAUGGUGAGGGAAGUUUUUGAGCAUACCCUUAAAUCUCUCACAAGCUUGGCAAAGAUUCUCUUCAUUUUUCUAUCUAAAACUCAAGAUUUCACUCCUCAAGUA
RNAcentral lists this small nucleolar RNA (107 nucleotides) under Capsicum annuum. RNAcentral describes it as "Plant small nucleolar RNA R71". It matches the Rfam family "Plant small nucleolar RNA R71". Rfam says of the family: R71 is a member of the C/D box family of snoRNAs containing the C (UGAUGA) and D (CUGA) box motifs. Multiple nearly identical copies of this snoRNA have been identified in Arabidopsis, and it is thought to function as a 2'-O-ribose methylation guide for 18S ribosomal RNA. The record is from Rfam by way of RNAcentral. Lineage: Eukaryota; Viridiplantae; Streptophyta; Magnoliopsida; Solanales; Solanaceae.